This 120-nucleotide small nuclear RNA is filed under the name Mustela putorius furo (domestic ferret). RNAcentral describes it as "U2 spliceosomal RNA". It matches the Rfam family "U2 spliceosomal RNA". From Rfam's summary of the family: U2 is a small nuclear RNA (snRNA) component of the spliceosome (involved in pre-mRNA splicing). Complementary binding between U2 snRNA (in an area lying towards the 5' end but 3' to hairpin I) and the branchpoint sequence (BPS) of the intron results the bulging out of an unpaired adenosine, on the BPS, which initiates a nucleophilic attack at the intronic 5' splice site, thus starting the first of two transesterification reactions that mediate splicing. Lineage: Eukaryota; Metazoa; Chordata; Mammalia; Carnivora; Mustelidae. The record is from Rfam by way of RNAcentral.
AUCGCUUCUCAGCCUUUUGGCAAAGAUCAAGUGUAGUAUCUGUUCUUAUCAGUUUAAAGGAUUCCUGUUCUGUGGGACCUUCAGAGCCCAUCCCAAAUUCUUUCAAGCUAAAGACCUACU